UCUCAAGAGGGCUGUGGAUCAUUAUUUUUUCCUUUUAGAUGUUCCUUGAAAAAAUAUAUAUAUAUAUAUAUUUUUUUUUAGACAGAGUCUUACUCUGUCAGCCAGGCUGGAGUGCAGUGGCACAAUCUCAGCUCACUGGAACCUCCGCCUCCCGGGCUCAAGCAAUUCUCCUGCAUCAGCCUCCCGAGUAGCUGGGAUUACAGGCGUGUACCACCACGCUCAGCUAAUUUUUGUAUUUUUAGUAGAGAUGGGAUUUUACCAUGUCAGUCAGGAUGGUCUCGAACUCCUGGCCUCAGGUAAUCCACCUGCCUAGGCCUCCCAAAGUGCUGGGAUUACAGGCGUGAGCCACCACUUCUGGCCCAAAAAGAUAAAAUAUCUUAAUAGAAAGGGUAUAAUUUUCUAUUGCCAUACCUUCUAGGCUGUAUGCUUCCAUAGUCAAUCUGAGUUAUCUAAUGAUGGAAAUAUCUUGGAGUCAUGGCAGAAGUGCCUCAAUUUUCUGACUACUUCAACUUCUAACUGAGAACUUCGUCUCCCUUGCCCAAAACCUACAAUGUGGGAGGGACUGCAGAGAACAUGGAUACUAAAUGGUGUGUUUCACUGGAAGACCAUCUUUGCAAACUAGAUACCAUGUCGCUCCUCUGUCCUAACGAACUAGACUAGACAAUAUAAUUCAAUGAAGACACAUCUCAAGAGAGAGUACCAUCAUAUAGUCCUGAAGUUAAAGGUAGAAAGAACACCUAGAAAAAGAAAGAGUAGGCCAAUUCCAUCCUACCACCCACCAAGGGCCUUUGUUCCAUCCCAAUUUUUUAACAUUGUUUUCUUCAUUUUGUCAGUGAUCACUGAGAGGCAAGAUGGAGUGGGGUCAAACAACAUAUGUCCAUUUAUUGAAUAAAAGUAAAAGUUGUUAUUUUCCUUUAACCUGUCCCCCAUCCACUGACCCCAGAAGGCUCCUCAAGUGCAGCCUACAACUUGCUCUGAAAUUCCCAGACCUGUCACUGCAGCACCAUAUGGCUACUGGUAACUAUUGAGGGAAGUGACAGACAUUUCUACUCGAAGCCUUUAAUGUGGAACCCCUCUGUUCUGUCAAAUCUGUCUGCCCUUAACCUUUCAGUGAAAAGCAUGUAGCUCUGUUGACAAGCACCUCCUGUAGAAGAAAAACUAAAUUUACUCCUACUGCUCCAACUUCUACACUGUGGGUGCCCCAUCCCUGAGGCCUCAGGAUACAAAAUUGGGUGCCAUUUCAGGCAUAUAUGCAGGUAGGCUUCUCUCAAAUUGUGUGUACAAACUCAACUGGAGGAGGAAUUCUCCGUAUCAGAGAAGUAUUUCAAAGUGCAAUAAUAUUUAGCUCCCUGAUUCCUCUUAACAAUCUUAAUUAUUCUGCUCCCUGGAGAGUCAAACAGAGUUGGUAAUUAUAGAAAAGAAAGUGAUAAAGAUCAACAAUUCAUUUCCCCCCAAAACAUUCUCAGACUAGCUGAUUAAAUCUUUACUAGGAUCUCAGGCUUACAGUACCAUAAUACCAAUCUUGAAGGGAUUAUAUAUUAAUAAAACAUAUGUUAGUAAUUCUAUAAAUAAUUAACAUUUUGAAAUAAGUGACAAACCCCUA
RNAcentral lists this long non-coding RNA (1603 nucleotides) under Homo sapiens (human). RNAcentral describes it as "HSALNT0165452". Lineage: Eukaryota; Metazoa; Chordata; Mammalia; Primates; Hominidae. The record is from RNAcentral.